GUAGCUCAGUGGCUGAGCACCUGCUUUGCAUGCAGAAAGUCCCGGGUUCAAUCCCCACCAUCUCCA
RNAcentral lists this transfer RNA (66 nucleotides) under Podarcis lilfordi (Lilford's wall lizard). Its description in RNAcentral is "tRNA.Ala". It matches the Rfam family "tRNA". Rfam says of the family: Transfer RNA (tRNA) molecules are approximately 80 nucleotides in length. Their secondary structure includes four short double-helical elements and three loops (D, anti-codon, and T loops). The record is from RNAcentral. Lineage: Eukaryota; Metazoa; Chordata; Lepidosauria; Squamata; Lacertidae.